CUCUCUCUCUGUCCUGCGCCUCUCUCUCUCUCGCCUGCGCCUGUCUCUCGCCUGCGCCUCUCUCUCUCUCGCCUGCGCCUCUCUCUCUCUCUCGCCUGCCCCCUCUCUCUCUCUCUUCGCCUGCGCCUCUCUCUCCCUCACCUGCGCCUCUCUCUCUCUCCCCUGCGCCUCUCUCUCUUUCUCUCUCGCAUGCACCUCUGUCUAUCUCCCUCGUCUGCCCCUCUCUGUCUUUCUUUCCCCUGCGCCUCUCUCUCACCUGCGCCUCUCUCUCUCUCGCCUGCAUCUCUCUCUCUCGCCUGUGCCUCUCUCUCUCUCGCCUGCCCCUCUCUCUCGCCUGCGCCUCUCUCUCUCGCCUGCACCUCUCCCUCUUUCUCGCCCGUGCCCCUCUCUCUCUCUCCCUCACCUGCGCCUCUCUCUCUCUCGCCUGCGCCUCUCUCUCUUUCUCUCUCGCAUGCACCUCUGUCUAUCUCCCUCGCCUGCCCCUCUCUGUCUUUCUUUCCCCUGCACCUCUCUCUCACCUGCGCCUCUCUCUCUCUCGCCUGCACCUCUCUCUCUCUCGCCUGUGCCUCUCUCUCUCUCUCGCAUGCACCUCUCUCUCUCUCGCCUGUGCCUCUCUCUCUCUCUCACCUGCGCCUCUCUCUCUCUCGCCUGCGCUUCUCUCUCUCUCGCCUGCGCCUCUCUCUCUCGCCUGCCCCCCCUCUCGCCUGCCCCUCUCUCUCUCGCCUGUGCCUCUCUCUCUCUCCCCUGCACCUCUGUCUCUCUCUCGCCUGCCCCUCUCUUUCUCGCCUGCAUCUCUCUCUCUCUCACCUGCGCCUCUCUCUCUCUCUCGCCUGCGCCUCUCUCUCUCUUUCUUGCCUGCGCCUCUCUCUCCCCCCCCUCUCUCUCUCUCCUCGCCGGCCUCGUGCGGGGCCGCCUGAUGGAUUGCCGCACCAUUCAUCUAAAUUAUGUCACCGGCAAUAAGCAACUUGCUUAAUCCGCCUAACGAAGGGCCGGGUGGGCGAGCGCUGACACGUGCUUAACGCUGUCCUCCUCGCCGCCGCCGGCAGCCCCGUCCGCACCGCGCGGCCGGAAACGCCCUCGUGUUUACGGGCUUCCCGCGGGCUGUGCCGGGGCUGGAUCCGUGGGGCUGGCACUUCCAGCCAGCAGGGAUGCGAGAGGCGCCCGGCGCUGCCCAGCUCGCCCGCCUGCAUCCCAGCCUUGGCGCAGCCUGCUGCUUCCCGGGAUAAACUGCACCUGGUGCAG
RNAcentral lists this long non-coding RNA (1242 nucleotides) under Apteryx haastii (Great spotted kiwi). Its description in RNAcentral is "lncRNA (ENSAHAG00000011453.1)". Lineage: Eukaryota; Metazoa; Chordata; Aves; Apterygiformes; Apterygidae. The record is from RNAcentral.